RNAcentral lists this ribosomal RNA (385 nucleotides) under uncultured bacterium. Its description in RNAcentral is "bacterial SSU rRNA". It matches the Rfam family "Bacterial small subunit ribosomal RNA", at positions 29 to 441 of the family's 1533-position model. The record is from RNAcentral.
AACGAACGCUGGCGGCAGGCUUAACACAUGCAAGUCGAGCGCCGUAGCAAUACGGAGCGGCAGACGGGUGCGUAACACGUGGGAACAUACCCUUUGGUUCGGAAUAACUCAGGGAAACUUGAGCUAAUACCGGAUAAGUGCGAGAGCAGAAAGAUUUAUCGCCGAAGGAUUGGCCCGCGUCUGAUUAGCUAGUUGGUAGGGUAACGGCCUACCAAGGCUACGAUCAGUAGCUGGUCUGAGAGGAUGAUCAGCCACACUGGGACUGAGACACGGCCCAGACUCCUACGGGAGGCAGCAGUGGGGAAUAUUGGACAAUGGGCGAAAGCCUGAUCCAGCCAUGCCGCGUGAGUGAUGAAGGCCUUAGGGUUGUAAAGCUCUUUUACCC